AUGACUGAUUUGAAGAGUCCCACUGGAUUGGGACUCUGACGAAGAGUCCCACUGGACUAAGACUCUAUUAUUAUUGAAAGGAUUAAUUAAUGAUUAAAUCAUUAAUUAACUCAAUUUGAUUGUGCAUUAAAAUCUGGAUCAAGUUUGAUUGAAUUGGAUUCAAUCAGGUCAGGUCUGAUUAGGUUAUGAGAUGAUCUAGUCGAUAUGGGAGAAAUGAUCCUGAUUUGAUCAGAUCUAUAGCUCAAUUAAUUUAUUGAUUUGAUUAG
RNAcentral lists this long non-coding RNA (266 nucleotides) under Elaeis guineensis (African oil palm). RNAcentral describes it as "long non-coding RNA (EGUI_LNC000355)". The record is from RNAcentral. Lineage: Eukaryota; Viridiplantae; Streptophyta; Magnoliopsida; Arecales; Arecaceae.